Molecule: transfer RNA, 68 nt
Filed under: Bombina fortinuptialis (large-spined bell toad)
Lineage: Eukaryota; Metazoa; Chordata; Amphibia; Anura; Bombinatoridae
Description: tRNA-Cys
Source: RNAcentral
AGGCUCCGUGGUGUACCGCACGUAAGAUUGCAAAUCUUAAGAAGCGAGAUGAAACUCGCCGGGGCUUC